AGAGUUUGGUCCUGGCUCAGGACGAACGCUGGCGGCGUGCCUAACACAUGCAAGUCGAACGGGACUUGGCCCUUCGGGGACAAGUUUAGUGGCGGACGGGUGAGUAACGCGUGAGCAACCUGCCUUUCAGAGGGGGACAACAGUUGGAAACGACUGCUAAUACCGCAUGACGCUUUUAGGAGGCAUCUCCAAAAAGUCAAAGAUUUAUCGCUGAAAGAUGGGCUCGCGUCUGAUUAGAUAGUUGGUGGGGUAACGGCCUACCAAGUCAACGAUCAGUAGCCGGACUGAGAGGUUGAACGGCCACAUUGGGACUGAGAUACGGCCCAGACUCCUACGGGAGGCAGCAGUGGGGAAUAUUGGGCAAUGGGGGAAACCCUGACCCAGCAACGCCGCGUGAAGGAAGAAGGCCUUCGGGUUGUAAACUUCUUUUACCAGGGACGAAGAACGUGACGGUACCUGGAGAAAAAGCCACGGCUAACUACGUGCCAGCAGCCGCGGU
This 499-nucleotide ribosomal RNA is filed under the name uncultured bacterium. RNAcentral's name for it is "bacterial SSU rRNA". It matches the Rfam family "Bacterial small subunit ribosomal RNA", at positions 8 to 521 of the family's 1533-position model. The record is from RNAcentral.